RNAcentral lists this long non-coding RNA (3499 nucleotides) under Cicer arietinum (chickpea). RNAcentral's name for it is "long non-coding RNA (CARI_LNC001047)". The record is from RNAcentral. Lineage: Eukaryota; Viridiplantae; Streptophyta; Magnoliopsida; Fabales; Fabaceae.
CCAAAUUCAGAUAAAUCAUUCUUGUUGCUAUGUCACAACGGUUUUACAGUCUAGUUCAAACUCUAUUGAAUGUGCCUCACAUUUGUACACUCAUUUCUUGAUUUCCAUAAGCUCCACAGACACAUAGAGAAGAUCAUUUGAUUCUCAUUAGUUAGCAGAUGCAAAAGCUCAAAAAACAACCCUUUAAUUUGAAAUCAAUAAAGUGAUUAAUAAUUGCUUGAACUUUAAGCCAUAAACCAGUAUUUUCCGAGACCAAUUUUGCAGCAUUGCAUGUUAGCAUGAAAAGCAAAGUUGUUUCAGGUUCAUAAUCGCGUUCCAAUCUCCUGUGACAAGCAUAGCCUUGCUUUCCAACACCUUAACCCUUUGAAUUGUUGUCACAAAACAAGAAGAAUAACUUAACUUGUUUUCUUUUUCUUAAUUUUGUUUUUUUCUAUGGGAGAAAUUGCCUCCAAAUUACUACAAUUUAUAGAAUUAGCAAUCAAAGUGAUGGGAACUACUAUUAAUUCAUAAAAUAAAAAAAUAAAAAAACAAAUGGAUAGGUGCAUUAUUGGGACGAUCUUUUGGUCAUAUGUUAUUGGUCAUGAAUUUCUUUUUCUAUAAAUAAGCAACAACAAAAAAAAACUAACAAUAAAAUGAAGAAUCUUGGAUAGAAUUGGGACGGGGUGUACACUUAUUUAAAUAUUUCAAACUUUUUAAACAAACAUUAAACAUUUCAUUGAAAAAUCUCGUUAUAGGUAUUUAACGAAUUUUAAUAUUUUUUCUUUGUUUUUUUUAUAAUUAUGACGUCAUCUCUUCACUCUAAUUUAAUAUAUAUAUUUCAUCUUUUAUCAAAAAAACAAUUUCAUGUAUUAUAUACAUACAUUGUUACAUGCCUACACAAAAUUCGGAUUAAGCUCCUCUAAAUAUGACUUGAAUUUUGUUUGUUUUUUUCAAAAAUAAAUAUCAGCAAAUGAUAAUUAUAUUCUUAUUGAAAUUAGAAGUUAGCUAUGAAUAUGUCUAAUUUAGCCUUAGAUAAAAGUUAAUGAUAUUUUAAUUUGCAGAAAGAAAACGUGAUUGCUCACGGGACAGGGCACGGAGAGAUGGUCACGUGACCACAUAAUGUGUUUGGUCUAAUUUUCUCCGUUAGCCACUUUUCACUGUCUCUUUCUUCAUUGAAGAAGGAUAAGAUGAGUCAUUGCGUUUUUGUUUUUAUUUUUCUAUUUCUUUCUUUAUUUGUUCUCUUACAAAACAAAACGUCAUUGCAUAGAUCAGCAUACAACAUGUAAUCAAAGCUGCAUUUUGUUGCGAUUGCUGUCUAAAUUCAUCCCACAUAGUCAAUGUUGCGUCACAUAACAAUUUAUAAUAAUCAAAAUUAUAAUUUUAUAAUAUAUAUAUAUAUCACUGCAUUUCUGAAUUUAAAUGAACAUGUAUAUAAUUUAAAAAUUAAUGGUGCAAAUUAAAUAUAAUAUAGAAAAAAUAAUUUAAUAAAAAAAAUUAAAUACUAAUCGAAAAAAUGUUGAACAUAAUAGAUCGCAGACAUAAUUUAGUAAAAAAUAAUUUAUAUAUUUUAGAAGUAGAAGUUAUUUAUAGGUAGUCGUGGAAGAAGCUAAAAGAGUGGUAAGAGAAAGACCGACGUGGCGAGCAUGUAGGUAAAGAGAAGAAAGAUUUCGAUAGAGAUCGUACGGUGGGAAGGUAAUUAGAUGCAGAGAGCGUGCAUAGCAUACGAAUACGAUGAGUUGUUGUGUGCUUUUCUUUUAACUAACUACCCCCACUCUCAGAAUCAAUCUAGUCUCAAGUCUCACAGACAUAAAAACAAACACAAACGCUAACCGUGCAUAGCAUACGAAUACAAGAAGAUGGCGUUGGCUGUUCCUGCUGUUCCUUUCACGUACGGUGUUCACCUUCUUGGUCUUGUCGCCAUCGUAUUAGUGUUGCUUUGGAACUUACAUUUCAGGGGUGGUUUGGCUUGGAAUUCUUCCAACAAGGCUCUCAUCUUCAAUGUACUACUACUCUCUCUCUCUCUCUUUAUUCUUUUUUAACUUCGUCGAUUUCGUAUUAACCGUUUUUAGGUUUUGUGUUUCUCCUUGUUCUGCAAAAUUGAAUGUUAUUCACUCAUAACUUAACUUGAAAUUUCCUUCCAAUUUUUUUUUCUCUAGUUAAUUUGCAAUUUUUUUAAUAAAUAAGUACAAUUAUACAGAUUAACGUGUACUUAGCUGUUUUUUGUUUUACUAUAUUUAGCUGAUUGUUGAACGCCAGAACUUGGGUGAUUUUUUUUUUUGGUUGACUAAUAACUUGUGGAAAUGUUUGAAUACGAAUGCUCUUUCCAGAUUUACCUCACCUAAUAAUCUAGUCUAGUCAAUAAUAAUAAUAAUAAUAAUAAAUGGUGUUUAUACGCAAUAAAAAUGUGGUUUAUUUGGCUAACUAACUUUUUUCUGAAUUUAUUCGACUUAUUAAUUGAUUUAAGAAUUUAAAUGAACAUGUAUAUAAUUUAAAAAUUAAUGGUGCAAAUUAAAUAUAAUAUAGAAAAAAUAAUUUAAUAAAAAAAAUUAAAUACUAAUCGAAAAAAUGUUGAACAUAAUAGAUCGCAGACAUAAUUUAGUAAAAAAUAAUUUAUAUAUUUUAGAAGUAGAAGUUAUUUAUAGGUAGUCGUGGAAGAAGCUAAAAGAGUGGUAAGAGAAAGACCGACGUGGCGAGCAUGUAGGUAAAGAGAAGAAAGAUUUCGAUAGAGAUCGUACGGUGGGAAGGUAAUUAGAUGCAGAGAGCGUGCAUAGCAUACGAAUACGAUGAGUUGUUGUGUGCUUUUCUUUUAACUAACUACCCCCACUCUCAGAAUCAAUCUAGUCUCAAGUCUCACAGACAUAAAAACAAACACAAACGCUAACCGUGCAUAGCAUACGAAUACAAGAAGAUGGCGUUGGCUGUUCCUGCUGUUCCUUUCACGUACGGUGUUCACCUUCUUGGUCUUGUCGCCAUCGUAUUAGUGUUGCUUUGGAACUUACAUUUCAGGGGUGGUUUGGCUUGGAAUUCUUCCAACAAGGCUCUCAUCUUCAAUGUACUACUACUCUCUCUCUCUCUCUUUAUUCUUUUUUAACUUCGUCGAUUUCGUAUUAACCGUUUUUAGGUUUUGUGUUUCUCCUUGUUCUGCAAAAUUGAAUGUUAUUCACUCAUAACUUAACUUGAAAUUUCCUUCCAAUUUUUUUUUCUCUAGUUAAUUUGCAAUUUUUUUAAUAAAUAAGUACAAUUAUACAGAUUAACGUGUACUUAGCUGUUUUUUGUUUUACUAUAUUUAGCUGAUUGUUGAACGCCAGAACUUGGGUGAUUUUUUUUUUUGGUUGACUAAUAACUUGUGGAAAUGUUUGAAUACGAAUGCUCUUUCCAGAUUUACCUCACCUAAUAAUCUAGUCUAGUCAAUAAUAAUAAUAAUAAUAAUAAAUGGUGUUUAUACGCAAUAAAAAUGUGGUUUAUUUGGCUAACUAACUUUUUUCUGAAUUUAUUCGACUUAUUAAUUGAUUUAAAUGCU